RNAcentral lists this ribosomal RNA (495 nucleotides) under uncultured bacterium. RNAcentral's name for it is "partial 16S ribosomal RNA". It matches the Rfam family "Bacterial small subunit ribosomal RNA", at positions 28 to 507 of the family's 1533-position model. The record is from RNAcentral.
GACGAACGCUGGCGGCGUGCCUAAUACAUGCAAGUCGAACGCUGAAGGAGGAGCUUGCUUCUCUGGAUGAGUUGCGAACGGGUGAGUAACGCGUAGGUAACCUGCCUGGUAGCGGGGGAUAACUAUUGGAAACGAUAGCUAAUACCGCAUAAUAGUAGAUGUUGCAUGACAUUUACUUAAAAGGUGCAAUUGCAUCACUACCAGAUGGACCUGCGUUGUAUUAGCUAGUUGGUGGGGUAACGGCUCACCAAGGCGACGAUACAUAGCCGACCUGAGAGGGUGAUCGGCCACACUGGGACUGAGACACGGCCCAGACUCCUACGGGAGGCAGCAGUAGGGAAUCUUCGGCAAUGGACGAAAGUCUGACCGAGCAACGCCGCGUGAGUGAAGAAGGGUUUCGGAUCGUAAAGCUCUGUUGUAAGAGAAGAACGAGUGUGAGAGUGGAAAGUUAACACUGUGACGGUAGCUUACCAGAAAGGGACGGCUAACUACGUG